CCUACGGGUGGCAGCAGUGGGGAAUAUUGCACAAUGGGGGAAACCCUGAUGCAGCGACGCCGCGUGAGUGAAGAAGUAUUUCGGUACGUAAAGCUCUAUCAGCAGGGAAGAAAAUUACGGUACCUGACUAAGAAUCCCCGGCUCCCUACGUGCCAGCCGCCGCGGUCAUACGUAGGGGGCAAGCGUUAUCCGGAUUUACUGGGUGUAAAGGGAGCGUAGACGGCAGGGCAAGUCUGGAGUGAAAUCCCAUGGCUUAACCAUGGAACUGCUUUGGAAACUGUGCAGCUAGAGUGCAGGAGAGGUAAGCGGAAUGCCUAGUGUAGCGGUGAAAUGCGUAGAUAUUAGGAGGAACACCAGUGGCGAAGGCGGCUUACUGGACUGUAACUGACGUUGAGGCUCGAAAGCGUGGGGAGCAAACAGGAUUAGAUACCCUUGUAGUC
Molecule: ribosomal RNA, 440 nt
Filed under: uncultured bacterium
Lineage: Bacteria
Description: partial 16S ribosomal RNA
Rfam family: Bacterial small subunit ribosomal RNA
Source: RNAcentral